GCCCAGGGUAAGUCGGGACCUAAGGCGAGGCCGACAGGCGUAGUCGAUGGACAACGGGUUGAUAUUCCCGUACCCGCUUUGAAGCGCCAACGCUGAACCAGGUGAUGCUAAGGCCGUGAAGCCGUCCCGGAGCCUUCGGGCAAAGGGAAGUGGUGGAGCCGCCGGUCCAAGCCUGUACUAGGUGAGCGAUGGGGUGACGCAGGAAGGUAGUCCAGCCCGGGCGGUGGUUGUCCCGGGGUAAGGGUGUAGGCCGAGUGAUAGGCAAAUCCGUCACUCAUUAAGGCUGAGACCUGAUGCCGAGCCGAUUGUGGUGAAGUGGAUGAUCCUAUGCUGUCGAGAAAAGCCUCUAGCGAGUUUCAUGGCGGCCCGUACCCCAAACCGA
Molecule: ribosomal RNA, 382 nt
Filed under: Streptomyces rubellomurinus subsp. indigoferus
Lineage: Bacteria; Bacillati; Actinomycetota; Actinomycetes; Kitasatosporales; Streptomycetaceae
Description: bacterial LSU rRNA
Rfam family: Bacterial large subunit ribosomal RNA
Source: RNAcentral